Non-coding RNA from Plasmodium ovale wallikeri, 85 nucleotides. NCBI's taxonomy places the organism in Eukaryota, Apicomplexa, Aconoidasida, Haemosporida, Plasmodiidae. The record is from Rfam.
UUAAAAUGAUGAUUAACUUAAGCGAUGGGCGGACUGAAAGAAAGUCAGAGCUUAUAUAUGUAGAAAAUCGCAUAAACUGAUAAGA